GUUAGGUCUCUCCUGGAUGGAGACACAAAGGGAACAGUCAGGCAUAUAUAUGCAUAAUAGUCUAUAAGUGGCUAGGUUUGCCACAUGUACAAAUACACCAGUGUCCUGGCUCCCUGGUGGUCCGAUGGGCUUCCUAUCCCGUCUGCCGGGAAUGAGCUGCAGCCCAUGUGAUGGAGAAAUCGCGAUCCAAAAAAUUCAGAGCAUUGCCGUGGUAACCCAUUGCAAUGCUCUGACUUGCUGGAGGUUAUGAGACACUUUGCAGACUGUAGGCGCUCUCCUCCCAGGGCAGACUGCUUGGAGGGACCUCUCACCCUA
This is a non-coding RNA of Pelobates cultripes (western spadefoot toad), 315 nucleotides long. The record is from the annotation of a GenBank genome assembly. Lineage: Eukaryota; Metazoa; Chordata; Amphibia; Anura; Pelobatidae.